This 407-nucleotide ribosomal RNA is filed under the name uncultured bacterium. RNAcentral describes it as "partial 16S ribosomal RNA". It matches the Rfam family "Bacterial small subunit ribosomal RNA", at positions 30 to 526 of the family's 1533-position model. The record is from RNAcentral.
AUCGAACGCUGGCGGCAGGCCUAACACAUGCAAGUCGAGCGGAGCGGCGGACGGGCGCGUAAUGCCUAGGAAUCUGCCUGGUCGUGGUGGAUAACGUCCUGAAACGGGCGCUAAUACCGCAUACUAUCAGAUGAGCCUAGGUCGGAUUCGCUAGUUGGUGGGGUAAAGGCCUACAAAGCCGACGUUCCGUAACUGGUCUGAGAGGAGGAUCAGUCACACUGGAACUGGGAAACGGUCCAGACGCCAACGGGAGGAGGCAGUGGGGAAGAUUGGAAAAUGGGGGAAAGCCUGAGCCAGACAUGCCGCGUGUGUGAUGAAGGUCUUCGGAUGGUAAAGCACUUUAAGUUGGGAGGCGGUACCAACAGAAUAAGCACCGGCUAACUUCGUGCCAGCAGCCGCGGUAAUUC